RNAcentral lists this ribosomal RNA (483 nucleotides) under uncultured bacterium. RNAcentral's name for it is "partial 16S ribosomal RNA". It matches the Rfam family "Bacterial small subunit ribosomal RNA", at positions 28 to 507 of the family's 1533-position model. The record is from RNAcentral.
GACGAACGCUGGCGGCGUGCUUAACACAUGCAAGUCGAACGCUGAAGCUCAGCUUUUGUUGGGUGGAUGAGUGGCGAACGGGUGAGUAACACGUGAGUAACCUGCCUCCUUCUUUGGGAUAACGCCCGGAAACGGGUGCUAAUACUGGAUAUUCACUGGUCUUCGCAUGGGGGUUGGUGGAAAGGGUUUUUCUGGUGGGGGAUGGGCUCGCGGCCUAUCAGCUUGUUGGUGGGGUGAUGGCCUACCAAGGCUUUGACGGGUAGCCGGCCUGAUAGGGUGACCGGUCACAUUGGGACUGAGAUACGGCCCAGACUCCUACGGGAGGCAGCAGUGGGGAAUAUUGCACAAUGGGCGCAAGCCUGAUGCAGCGACGCCGCGUGAGGGAUGGAGGCCUUCGGGUUGUGAACCUCUUUCGCUCAUGGUCAAGCCGCAACAAUGGUUGUGGUGAGGGUAGUGGGUAAAGAAGCGCCGGCUAACUACGUG